UCUGUCUGUAGAGAGAAAGAAACGGAGCAACUCAGAAUCACCCAGACAUUGUAGAGAGAGAGAAAACCCUGUAGAGAGAUUGCGGUAUUUGGGUUCGAAGAGCUAGCGAUGACUCACCCAGACGGAGAGGCGCAAUAGUUGUCUCAAGUGUUUCUAUCAUCAUUGUUGUUGAGCUUGGGAGGCGUUAUUUUCUAUAACUCUCAAUAACAACAAGAGAGGCCUCCGGAGUUGUUGUUCCCUGCAAAAGCCAGAGGGAGCCAGCUCGUGCAAAGGGUGGGUGGAUGCACUUGUGUACGGGUGUGUAUUUGGUGCGCACGUGCGUUCAUGAUAUAGGUUAAAGUUGUACAAGUUCUAUAAUCGUGCCAAGAUUAUCCUUGCAACAAGGAAGAUAUUGCGAUUGUUAAUGGAAUGCUUAAUGAUUACUUGAGUUAUCGUGCCUAACAUUCUAAUCGCUUCAAUAAGGUUAUCUUUGUGACAAGGAAUAUAUUACGAUUAGUAAUGAAAUGCUGAUUGAUUGCUUGAGCUGUCAUGCCCAACAUUCUAAUGACUUCAAUAAGAUAUAUUUUAACGACUUCAAUAAGAAAAAAGCUAAAGACAGUCGCUUUGUGUAAGCGCGGUGCAAACACCGGCUGAUGUGGCAAAAAAUCAAAACGCCCCGUUUAGUGAUCCCUCCUUCCAUUUCCCUCUCUCUCUCAUUGCCCUCGAGUUCUUAGCUCUCAGAAGUCUGAAGACAAAAUGAAAAGAGAAAAUACAGAACCAAUAUAGUUCUUACCUCUCUAAAGACGAUCAUGGAAGAUUUCGAGAAGAAGGUUUCUACUAUAGAACCAAUGGAGGCCGAAAAUACUGUAGGUUGCUCUGAUUCUUCUAGAAUCCUCCGUCUGCUUCGUAGGUUCCUUGCAAUACAACAACGCAGAGCUGAAGCCUAUGCCAACGCUCAAAAAACUCAAAACUUGGGACCAAGUCAGCUGGAAGCCAGAUCCCAAAAAACAAGGAACCAAAUGCAACCUCCAAUUGACAUAUGUCCUAGAAUAUUGUCUGUUGAUGAAGAUGGAAAGUCUAUGUAGCUGGCUCCGAAAAGAGUAUUCAGUUUGCGAGAAAAGCUCCUUCUCAAGAUCUGUCAAAAUUAGCUAAGUUACCAAGGGAAGAUUUAAGAAUGGAAGCAGAAAAUACAAAUCAAGUUGGCAACUGAAAACCCAAACGAGCAAGAAGACAAAUAUCUAGAGGACCCAAAGCUCUGUUUCAGUGUUUUUGUUUGGAUUUUUUCUUUCUCAUUUCGGUUUCGCACAGGCAUGGUCUUUUGUCUUUCUUUUUUUUUCUUUUUAUAUAUAUAUAUAUAUUAUUUGACGUGGCCUCAGUGACUCCGCAUCGCUUGCGUGAACUGACUGUAUGUAGAAGAAUUGUUUUGUAUAUAUGCAUGUGUCGAGAUGUGCAUGCGUGUGUGUGGGUUUGUUUGGUGGUUGCAUGGAUGUUUGUGUGCUUGUGUUUGGAUGUGUGGGUGUGUGUGGUUGCGGGUGCAUGUGCUUGAGGGUUUAUUUGCGGGUACGUGCGUGCAUUUGUGUGUAGGUGUGUAUGCAUGUGUUUUGGUGUGUGCAAAUGUGUG
This is a long non-coding RNA of Juglans regia (Persian walnut), 1600 nucleotides long. RefSeq lists it as uncharacterized. Lineage: Eukaryota; Viridiplantae; Streptophyta; Magnoliopsida; Fagales; Juglandaceae. The record is from RefSeq and is a predicted model, not a curated record. The transcript is spliced from 6 exons.